This 444-nucleotide ribosomal RNA is filed under the name uncultured bacterium. RNAcentral describes it as "bacterial SSU rRNA". It matches the Rfam family "Bacterial small subunit ribosomal RNA", at positions 8 to 485 of the family's 1533-position model. The record is from RNAcentral.
AGAGUUUGAUCAUGGCUCAGAACGAACGCUGGCGGCAGGCUUAACACAUGCGAGUCGAACGCGAAACCGCCCUUCGGGGCGGGAGUAGAGUGGCAAACGGGUGAGUAACGCGUGGGAACCUACCCAGUGGUACGGAAUAACUUCGGGAAACCGGAGCUAAUACCGUAUACGCCCUUCGGGGGAAAGAUUUAUCGCCAUUGGAGGGGCCCGCGUCGGAUUAGCUUGUUGGUGGGGUAACGGCCUACCAAGGCGACGAUCCGUAGCUGGUCUGGGAGGAUGAUCAGCCACACUGGGACUGAGACACGGCCCAGACUCCUACGGGAGGCAGCAGUGGGGAAUAUUGGACAAUGGGCGAAAGCCUGAUCCAGCCAUGCCGCGUGAGUGAAGAAGGCCUUAGGGUUGUAAAGCUCUUUCAGCGGGGAAGAUAAUGACGGUACCCGCAGA